AAGGACACGAUACUAAUGAGCCAUUAUGAUGACAAGUUGUCGCCCCAAACGGAUUUCGAAAUUAUGAACGAUUCGACACAUUAGCCAAACACAAUUAUAUCUGAUCAAUGGCUUUAGUACAA
Small nucleolar RNA from Lachancea thermotolerans CBS 6340, 122 nucleotides. The record is from RefSeq and is a predicted model, not a curated record. Lineage: Eukaryota; Fungi; Ascomycota; Saccharomycetes; Saccharomycetales; Saccharomycetaceae.